This 231-nucleotide long non-coding RNA is filed under the name Lathyrus oleraceus (garden pea). RNAcentral describes it as "Pisum sativum (pea) long non-coding RNA (PSAT_LNC005218)". The record is from RNAcentral. Lineage: Eukaryota; Viridiplantae; Streptophyta; Magnoliopsida; Fabales; Fabaceae.
GUAGCAAGACAUGGUAUUAGUAUUAUGGCAUAAAUCACAAAAUAUAAAAAUAUAAAUGAUAACAACCAUUAUAAAAGUGCAACAUAAAAUGAUUAGGGUGGAAAUAGCAAAUAAUAAAGCAUUUGACUUUGGGCCCAGAGUCCCAAAGUUACCAAACCUUAGCUUUAAAGGAUAUGGUUUUGAAUAAAAAAUUAAUAAAAAUAAAAAAAUAAAAAAAAUGAAAAGAGUGAA